This 237-nucleotide ribosomal RNA is filed under the name uncultured bacterium. RNAcentral's name for it is "partial 16S ribosomal RNA". It matches the Rfam family "Bacterial small subunit ribosomal RNA", at positions 96 to 334 of the family's 1533-position model. The record is from RNAcentral.
CGGCGGACGGGUGAGUAACGCGUGGGUAACCUGCCUCAUACAGGGGGAUAACAGUUGGAAACGGCUGCUAAUACCGCAUAAGCGCACAGUACCGCAUGGUACGGUGUGAAAAACUCCGGUGGUAUGAGAUGGACCCGCGUCUGAUUAGGUAGUUGGUGGGGUAACGGCCUACCAAGCCGCGAUCAGUAGCCGACCUGAGAGGGUGACCGGCCACAUUGGGACUGAGACACGGCCCAA